CCUGGCCCUCGCGUCUCCCUCGCGCGGCAGCUCGGGGGCGAAACCCUAGCCGCCGCCGCCCCUCCUCCUCCCUCCUCCCUGCUUCGCCGCCGCCGGAGCUCGUCGCCGGCAAAGCGGGGCGACGCGCUGGGAUGGCGCGGGGUCAUCUCCCUCGGCUCACUCUCGCCCCGGCGCGGGUGUGGUGACGAUGGCGGCGGGACGGCGAGGUCGCGGCGACGGCGUGGUGGUGGGGCUCCCCGCGGCAAUGGCAGCGCGGCGGUGGGGCUCUGCGCGGCUCCGUCGAGGGCGUCGCCAGAUCUGGUAGCCCCGCCAGAUCUGGCCGGGGUACGACAGCGGCACGGCGGCGGGUCUCGGCGCGGCCGGCGACGGUCUCGGUCAACGCCGGCGCCCUCGGAAGUAGCAGGCGCCUCCAUCUCCCUCCCUCCUGGUCCUCCCUCCCUCCUGGUCCUCCAGAUCCGCUGGGUUCCUGGGUGUGAGAUGUCUCUGGUCGAGCUGCAGGGUUGGCUGUUGAGGUGGAGUCGGAGCUGCUUGUCUUGCAAGCUCGGCAACGAUGACCUUCAACGAACGUCCCGGCAACGCGACGAGGGUUUUGAGGUGGAGCAGUUUGAGAGAACCUUAGGUGAAAACCUUGCCUAG
This 636-nucleotide long non-coding RNA is filed under the name Oryza sativa Indica Group (long-grained rice). RNAcentral describes it as "lncRNA OsZS97_03G021320". The record is from RNAcentral. Lineage: Eukaryota; Viridiplantae; Streptophyta; Magnoliopsida; Poales; Poaceae.